RNAcentral lists this ribosomal RNA (497 nucleotides) under uncultured bacterium. Its description in RNAcentral is "partial 16S ribosomal RNA". It matches the Rfam family "Bacterial small subunit ribosomal RNA", at positions 28 to 507 of the family's 1533-position model. The record is from RNAcentral.
GAUGAACGCUGGCGGCGUGCCUAAUACAUGCAAGUCGAGCGAACAGACGAGGAGCUUGCUCCUCUGACGUUAGCGGCGGACGGGUGAGUAACACGUGGAUAACCUACCUAUAAGACUGGGAUAACUUCGGGAAGCCGGAGCUAAUACCGGAUAAUAUAUUGAACCGCAUGGUUCAAUAGUGAAAGACGGUUUUGCUGUCACUUAUAGAUGGAUCCGCGCCGCAUUAGCUAGUUGGUAAGGUAACGGCUUACCAAGGCAACGAUGCGUAGCCGACCUGAGAGGGUGAUCGGCCACACUGGAACUGAGACACGGACCAGACUCCUACGGGAGGCAGCAGUAGGGAAUCUUCCGCAAUGGGCGAAAGCCUGACGGAGCAACGCCGCGUGAGUGAUGAAGGUCUUCGGAUCGUAAAACUCUGUUAUUAGGGAAGAACAAAUGUGUAAGUAACUAUGCACGUCUUGACGGUACCUAAUCAGAAAGCCACGGCUAACUACGUG